AAACUGCUUCACUUCUGAGAGACCAGGGCCCAUUCCAGUAGCUUUAGGGAUGAUGUCCAUGACCCAAACUUGGAGGAGGACAAGUGAAUGUAUCUUAUAAAGGAGAAGGCUGGGAAGCCAAGGCGGAGAAGGACAUGUGAGACUGGGCAGGCUUCAGGGGUCUGAACCAACUCCAGCCCAGCUGUCAUCUGUGGGAAGUGGCUUUUGGUUGACCAGUGGUACUUCCCAGUGUCAGCACGUGUGUUGUGUCAGCAGCUCAGACCUUGCGCUGAGGGGCCCCUGUCCUCAGCCAUCUUUCAUCUUGGAAAAACUCUCUGGUGUAAAGAGCAGGGAGGUGCCUUGCUGAAGUGCCCGCUCUGAAUGAAGAAGAACUGGGUUCUGCAGUCUGUCCACAGUAAGAAGACUGUAUGUGAGCACAGUCUCCAUGUUCACUGUGCCUCAUGCCAUCCCUGAUAUCAUGGAGGAAAUGAAUGGUCAUUUAAAAAUCCUCAUUGGCUAAAGAGCUGGUGGUUUAAAUGAAUGCAUCUAAUUGCAAACUGUGAAGGGCUGGUCCUAGUAUUAAGAAGAUGGAUGAUUCUGUGAAGGGAAUGUGCUAAGACUUGUUUGUUGAAAAUGGAAUUAUUAAUGGCUUGUCAGUAAAGUUAAGAAUGCCUUAAGUCAUUCCUCUCUUACUCUAUUCAUAGAAGAAAUAAAACAGAUGAAUUUAUAAAGG
This 712-nucleotide long non-coding RNA is filed under the name Mus caroli (Ryukyu mouse). RNAcentral describes it as "lncRNA (MGP_CAROLIEiJ_G0005700.1)". Lineage: Eukaryota; Metazoa; Chordata; Mammalia; Rodentia; Muridae. The record is from RNAcentral.